This is a long non-coding RNA of Oncorhynchus keta (chum salmon), 629 nucleotides long. RefSeq lists it as uncharacterized. Lineage: Eukaryota; Metazoa; Chordata; Actinopteri; Salmoniformes; Salmonidae. The transcript has 4 exons. The record is from RefSeq and is a predicted model, not a curated record.
UGGACAGAACAGGUUCAGAAUAUAGGGACGUACAUGGACAUGGACAGAACAGGUUCAGAAUAUAGGGACGUACAUGGACAGAAUGGGUUCAGAAUAUAGGGACGUACAUGGACAGAAUGGGUUCAGAAUAUAGGGACGUACAUGGACAGAAUGGGUUCAGAAUAUAGGGACGUACAUGGACAUGGACAGAACAGGUUCAGAAUAUAGGGACGUACAUGGACAGAAUGGGUUCAGAAUAUAGGGACGUACAUGGACAGAAUGGGUUCAGAAUAUAGGGACGUACAUGGACAGAAUGGGUUCAGAAUAUAGGGACGUACAUGGACAGAAUGGGUUCAGAAUAUAGGGACGUACAUGGACAGAAUGGGUUCAGAAUAUAGGGACGUACAUGGACAGAAUGGGUUCAGAAUAUAGGGACAUACAUGGACAGAAUGGGUUCAGAAUAUAGGGACGUACAUGGACAGAAUGGGUUCAGAAUAUAGGGACGUACAUGGACAGAAUGGGUUCAGAAUAUAGGGACGGACAUGGACAGAAUGGGUUCAGAAUAUAGGGACGGACAUGGACAGAAUGGGUUCAGAAUAUAGGGACGUACAUGGACAGAAUGGGUUCAGAAUAUAGGGACGUACAUGGAC